RNAcentral lists this ribosomal RNA (392 nucleotides) under uncultured bacterium. RNAcentral's name for it is "partial 16S ribosomal RNA". It matches the Rfam family "Bacterial small subunit ribosomal RNA", at positions 523 to 918 of the family's 1533-position model. The record is from RNAcentral.
AUACGGAGGAUCCGAGCGUUAUCCGGCUUUAUUGGGUUUAAAGGGUGCGCAGGCGGCCAUUUAAGUCAGCGGUUAAAUCGUGGGGCUCAACCCCAUUCUGCCGUUGAUACUGGGUGGCUUGAUUGCGGUCGAGGUUGGCGGAAUUCGUUGUGUAGCGGUGAAAUGCAUAGAUAUGACGAAGAACACCGAUUGCGUAGGCAGCUGACCAGACCGCAAAUGACGCUCAUGCACGAAAGUGCGGGGAUCGAACAGGAUUAGAUACCCUGGUAGUCCGCACAGUAAACGAUGAAUACUUGUUUUCGGCGAUAUAAUGUCGGAGGCAAAGCGAAAGCGAUAAGUAUUCCACCUGGGGAGUACGCCGGCAACGGUGAAACUCAAAUGAAUUGACGGGG